This is a non-coding RNA of Arabidopsis thaliana (thale cress), 263 nucleotides long. Lineage: Eukaryota; Viridiplantae; Streptophyta; Magnoliopsida; Brassicales; Brassicaceae. The record is from RefSeq.
UGGGAAAAAUGUUAAAAAAAUCGCCAACUUUUAAAAAUGGGACAAAAAAAUCGCCAACUCCUGAAAUGUCAUUUAAAUCAUAUACUUUUGGUUGACUUUUCCAGAAAGAUAAUAAAGCAAAGAUUCGUAAUCAACAAAACUUUGCUCUGUUAUCUUUCUAAAGAACUCAAUCAAAAGUAUGUGAUUAAAACGACAUUUCAGGAGUUGGUGAUUUUUCAUCCCAUUUUUCAAAGUUGGCAAUUUUUUUGACAUUUUUUCCAAUG